UUUUGUUGGGUUGUCUUAUCUUAGGGACGACGUGGUUGAUAGCCUGUUUGCACUGAGAUCUAGUCCACGAAUCAACCAAGAACAUCAUUCGAUCGGGAAGAAGAUGAAGACGAAGAUGAUUAUAGUUUUUAUAUUGUUAUCARUUUACGUAAUUAACCCACAUAACGUAAAUGCGGUGGGUUUUGUUGGAGGUAUCGUUCGUGGUAUCAUUAAACGUUGCCCAAGACUAAAAUGCGAUGAAGUUGUUGGGGCAGGGCAUGAUGUUUAUAAGGCGGUUACGAGUCCUCCACCUCCUAUUCGAUUUCAUGCUUGUAAUCUUCCUUGUGCUCGUUCUAAUCCCCCUACUCUUGCUUGUCUCCAUGCUUGUCGUCGCUUUUUUCAUCACCCUUAAGCAAAAGAUCGUGUGAGAAGAAAAGUUAAAAUGAGAAGCGUAAGAAAGGAUCCGGACUCUUGAUCACCUUUAAUCUCAAACUCACCUAUGAGUUUGUGGUUUGUUUUUUUAUGUAUAAUUAUUACAUGGAAAAAUUGUUGUAUGUGGUACUAUCUUUCUGUAUUUGUGGCAUGGAAUCUAUAAAAUUUUGUUGUUUAUUUCUUGUGUUGAA
Molecule: long non-coding RNA, 602 nt
Organism: Cynara cardunculus var. scolymus (artichoke)
Lineage: Eukaryota; Viridiplantae; Streptophyta; Magnoliopsida; Asterales; Asteraceae
Exons: 2
Source: RefSeq, a predicted model, not a curated record